RNA transcript from Amborella trichopoda, 5763 nucleotides. It is a transcript of the gene named SIN3-like 4, with no coding region annotated. The record is from RefSeq and is a predicted model, not a curated record. NCBI's taxonomy places the organism in Eukaryota, Viridiplantae, Streptophyta, Magnoliopsida, Amborellales, Amborellaceae.
UAGUAUGAAACCAACUCCCCUGCGGUUUCUUUUUAGUCCUGCUCUGCAAAGGAAACCGCGAACCCAUUUCUUCAUUCCCACUUUCUCUCUCUAAAACCUCUUCCCACUCUCUUUCUCUCUCUAACUCUUUCCCUCCUUCUCGGCUUCAUCUCUGUUCAGUGCUUCUUAACCAUGGAUCGUUUCAUUAUCCUCUCUUCUCACUUCCCUCUCUAAUGUUUCUUCAUUAUUUUUUUCAUUGUUUCCUGUUCUCUCUCUCUAUACAUUCUUUUUCUCUCACAUCUAAGAAGUUGGAGAGAUUUUGUUCGGGGGUCUGGUUUCUCGGGUCCCUUUGUUUUUCGCGAUUAUUGUGUUGUUGGGGAUAUUGGUUGCAGAGAGGAAUUGGGGUUGAAGCGAAUUGCUUGGGUCUUUUUGGUUUGUUGUUUUGGGUAGAUCUGGUUAGGGACUGGUCUUUUAUGGUUAGAAUCUCGACCCCAAAGCCUGGGAAAUCUCUCGAGCUUUGGGGUUAGCUUGGUUGUAGAAGAUUGGGGUUAGAUAGAGAGAGAGAGGGAUUCUGCAGUUUUGAUUGCAUAUAGUGGUGAAGGAUCGGAAGGAUGAAGCGUUCUCGAGAAGAUGGUUACAUGGGUUCUCAACCCAGGCGUUCCAAUGGCCCUGCUCGUGGGGAACCGUCUGGACAACCCCAACAACAAUCUGUUGGCACUCAGAAGCUUACGACAAACGAUGCACUCGCCUAUCUGAAGGCUGUGAAAGAUAUGUUUCUGGAUAAGAAGGAAAAAUAUGAUGAAUUUCUGGAAGUCAUGAAGCAGUUCAAGGCUGCAAUGAUCGACACAGCAGGUGUUAUAACUAGGGUGAAGGAAUUGUUCAAGGGUCACCGCAACCUCAUUUUAGGUUUUAAUACUUUCUUGCCUAAGGGUUAUGAGAUUACUCUUCCACUCGAGGAUGAGCCUCCUCCAAAGAAACCCGUAGAAUUUGACGAAGCAAUCAACUAUGUAAACAAGAUAAAGGUGAGGCAAUAUUUGAACGUUUUCAACUAUGUAAACAAGAUAAAGACUCGUUUCCAAUAUGAUGAGCAAGUUUACAAAUCUUUUUUGGAGAUUUUGAAUCUGUACCGGAAAAGGAACAAGUCAAUCAAUGAGGUUUACCAGGAGGUGGCUCUUUUAUUUCAUGAUCACCAAGAUUUACUUGAGGAGUUCACUCAUUUCCUUCCUGAUUCGCAAGCCAUGGCUAAUACUCAACAUGCAUCCUCUGCUCGAAACUCAUCCAUCAAUGUUUUGCGUAGGGAGGACAAGAGCCUUGGGAUGCCUGUCAUAAGGCAAUCUCAUGGAGAGAAGAGGGAUAGAGGAGUCCACAUGGACCGUGAUCUCAGUGUUGACUGUCCCGAUCCUGAACAUGACAAAUCUUCUGGCAAAGUUGACAAGGAGCAAAAGAAGCGGGUUGACAAGGAGAAGAAGGAUAGGAGAGAGCGUGGUGAUAAGGAUGAUAAAGAUUCAGAGCAUGACCGGGAAAGGGAGAGGGACAGGGAUUUGGAUAAUAUGCAGCGUCACAAGCGCAAGUCUGCUAGGGUUGCGGAUGAGCUCAUUCGCAAGCAGUCCCAAGCUGGUGAGGGGGUCGAAAGUUUUGGAGCUCAAUCCACAGGAGCAGCUUCUUCCUUUGAAGAAAAAAAUGUGUUGAAGGGUGUGUAUACACAAGAAUUCCCCUUUAUUGAAAAAGUCAAGGAGAGGUUGCAUGAUGGUGACACUUACCAGGAGUUUUUGAAGUGCCUGCAUAUCUAUAGCAAAGAAAUUAUUAGUCGCUCAGAAUUGCAAAAUUUGGUGGCGGAUAUACUUGGAAAGUAUCCGGAUCUUAUGGAGGGGUUUAAUGAAUUUUUGUCACAGUGUGAGAAUAUCGAUGGCUAUCUGGCUGGUGUUAUUAACAAAAAAUCCUUAUGGACUGAAGGUCAAGUGGCUAAGCCCAAGGUGGAAAAGGACCGGGAAAAAGAUCAGGAGCGUGAACGAGACGAAAGGGAUAAAGAUAAAGAUAGGGAAAGAAAAGAAAGAGAUAGGCUUGAGAAAAAUGUCCCAUUUGUUCCCAGAGAUGUAACUAGCCACAAGGUCUCCUUGAAUCCGAGUAAAGACAAAUACAUGAAUAAGCCUAUUUCAGAGCUUGACCUCUCAAAUUGUGAUCGUUGUACUCCUAGUUAUCGCCUACUCCCAAAGAAUUAUCCAACACCUCCUGCUAGCCAGAGGACAGAGCUGGCUGCAGCAGUUUUGAACGACGUGUGGGUAUCAGUGACAUCUGGCAGUGAGGAUUACUCUUUCAAACAUAUGCGCAAAAACCAAUAUGAGGAGAGCCUUUUUAGAUGCGAAGAUGAUAGAUUUGAGCUGGACAUGUUGUUAGAAUCAACUAAUGUAACAACGAGGCGUGUUGAAGAAUUAUUGGAAAAGAUGCAAGACAGUAAUAGCAAACUUGAUGGCCAAAUUCGUAUCGAGGAUCACUUGACUGCUAUAAAUAUCAGGUGUAUUGAGAGAAUAUAUGGUGAUCAUGGUUUGGAUGUGAUGGACCUACUUCGCAAGAAUGCUGCUGUUGCAUUACCUGUCAUACUGACUCGCUUGAAGCAAAAGCAAGAUGAGUGGUCAAGGUGUCGUGCGGAUAUGAAUAAAGUUUGGGCUGAAGUGUAUGCUAAGAAUUAUCACAAGUCACUUGAUCAUCGGAGCUUCUAUUUCAAACAACAGGACAAGAAGAGUUUGAGCACAAAAGCUUUGCUGUCUGAGAUUAAAGAAAUAAAUGAGAAAAAGCGCAAGGAGGAUGAUGUGCUUCUGGCUAUCGCCGCGGGCAACCGACGGCCAAUUAUCCCCAAUCUCGAGUUUGAGUACAAUGAUCCAGAUAUUCAUGAAGAUAUAUAUCAAAUCAUUAGGUAUUCUUGUGAUGAGGUGUGCACUAACACGGAGCAGCUAGACAAGGUGAUGAGAAUUUGGACGAACUUCUUGGAGCCCCUUUUGGGUGUUCCCCCACGUCCUCAGGGUGCAGAAGACACUGAAGAUGUAGUGAAAUCUAAUAAGGGCCAUAACCACUCUGUAAAAACUAAUGGGACUAGUGCUGGGGAUAGUGAUGGUAGUCCCUGUGCUGCUGCUGAUGGUACUGGUACCCCCACUAACCACAACAAGCCUCAAGCACACCCUGGGGGGAGUAGUGAUGAACCAGCAACUGAACAAGCGCCAUCCUGCAAGGGUAGGUUGUUGGUUAAUUGUGGUAAUGGGGAUGCUAAUUUGUCCAGUAAGCAAGAUGUGCAUAAUGACACCGACCAAUUUGUUCGCAAAAGUGAUGGAAAAGUUGUUACAAAUGCUGCUGUUGUUUCUAAUCCUAUGGGUGAUGGAAUGCCAGGAGUCACCAUACAUAUGGCUUCUACUGAGCGAACUUCUGAUUCCAACUUGGCACAUGCUGUUGCUAGAUCAGAGAUGAAUCAAGGAAGAGUUAAUCUGGAGCAUGUAUUGGGAACUGGUACGAUGCUUUCUAAAGCUGGUCAUACCAUCACUGAAAGCGAGCUUGAGAGAAAACCUAAUGAUGAUAUGCUACUAUUGGGUGGGGAUGGUGGCGACAACAAUAAAGCAGUGGAAGUGACGAUAGAGAGGAGCAUGGCAGAUGCUAGUAGUAAGCCUGAUGCUUCUCCCUUGGUUUGCACUAGUACAUAUCGUGAGAAUUCUUCUAGCACCUUUAAGCCUGAAAGAGAAGAGGGUGAACUCUCUCCAAAUCCAGAUUUUGAUGAGGAUGGGUUUGUGGCAUACGGUGAUGGUAGUAUUGAGAACAUGUCAAAGGCAAAAGAUAAUAAUAACAACAAGAACAAUAGUAGUCCACUUGCAAGUGCUAGCAGGCAAUAUCAUCAUCAAGUUAGGCAUGGUGAAGAAGAAGAGAUUUGUUGUGGAGAAGAGGCAGGAGGGGAACAUGAUGCUGAUGCAGAUGAUGAGGGUGACGAGAGUGCCCAAAGGUCAUCAGAGGACAGUGAGAAUGUAUCUGAGGGCGGUGAGGAAGUGUCAGGGAGUGAGUCGGGUGAUGGGGAUGAGUGCUCUCGUGAAGAGGAGGAAGAAGAAGACGAAGAGCAUGAUGCUAAGGCUGAAAGUGAAGGAGAGGCUGAAGGGAUGGCUGAUGCUCAUGAUCUAGAUGGGGAUGGAAUUUCAUUGGCCUUUUCAGAACGUUUUCUGCUCUCUGUGAAGCCUCUGGCGAAGUUUGUGCCUUUGGCUUUACGUGGCAGUGAACAUAGAGGAUCAAGGAUAUUUUAUGGGAAUGAUUCUUUCUAUGUGCUCUUUAGGCUUCACCAGACAUUGUAUGAGAGGAUACUCUCUGCAAAGAUGAACUCAUUAUCUGCUGAAAAGAAAUGGAGAACAUUGAAGGAUACCAGUCCUCCUGAUCUCUAUGCCAAAUUUAGGAGCAUCCUUUACAGCUUACUUGAUGGCUCUGCUGACAAUACAAAGUUUGAGGAUGAUUGUCGUGCUAUUAUUGGUACACAGUCCUAUGUGCUAUUCACAUUAGACAAGUUGAUAUUUAAAAUUGUCAAACAGCUACAAGCUAUUGCAUCUGAUGAGAUGGACAAUAAACUCCUUCAGCUGUAUGCAUAUGAAAAUUCAAGGGCACCUGGAAAAUUUAUCGAUCUAGUUUAUCAUGCAAAUGCUCGUGUUCUGCUCUAUGAUGAGAAUAUGUACCGUUUUGAAUGUUCAUCGGGUCCGACUCGUUUGUCUAUCCAGCUGAUGGAAUCUGGGCAUGAGAAACCUGAGGUCUUGGCUAUUUCCAUGGAACCAUCCUUUGCUGCUUAUCUCUACAGUGAAUUCCUGGCAGUUAUCCCUUAUAAGAAGGAGAUUGAUGGGGUUUUCCUUAAGAGAACCAAACAGAAAUAUGGAAGUGAUGACGAGAGUUCCUCAUCUUGCUUGGCACUGGAAGGCGUUCGAGUGGUCAAUGGCUUGGAAUAUAAGAUUUCUUGCAACACUUCCAAGGUAUCUUAUGUUUUAGACACAGAAGACUUCCUGAUCCGAAUGGGGAGAAAAAGGCGACGAGGGAACUUAUCUAGCCAGGAUGAUACCAGUUCAUUGAACAACUAUGAGCCAAGAGUGAAGCGCUUCCGCAGGUUUUUGUCUCGUGCAUAACGUGGCGUGAGAACAGAAAGGUUAGAGUAGGAGUUUGUUCCUCAUCAAUUGUUUCAGCAUUUCCAGGGGCAAGCGGAGACGUCCCAAACAAAACAGCACGUGGCUGCAACAUAAAUACUGGAGGUAUUUGUCACUGGGUGGCAUAUCAAAGUGCUGAAAAGAAGCCAACCAACUCUCUCUUCUCCCGCCCUUCCUCUUUCUCUCUGCAAUAACCAGAGGGGAUCGCCACUCGUGUCAUUGUGCUUUAGUGAUUGUCACUCAUGUCAAUGUGCUUUAGCGAGACAGUUUGUUGUACAAGUGAUGGAUGUAAAUAGAGUUUUUUUGGUGUUAUACACAUUUGAUUAUUCUUAUAUGUAUGGAAUCGUCGACGUACACAGUUGCUUUCGGUGGCCAUGAGCUGCUCCCAUUGCGACUACUUUUUCUUCUUUUUUUUUUGCCUCCCUAUUUAGGUUAGGAAGCUGCAUUGUUUCUUACAGAAAACCAGAAGCAUUUCAGAAGAGAAGUGUUCUGUACCCUAUUGAUCUUGAUACUAUUCCCCUUGAUUGCAGAAUUGCGGUUUCUAAUGUUACAGGGUAUCUCAAGGAAGAAGGCUUUAGCCAACCUGUGUGGAUUGUUAAUCUCUUUUGAUUAUCUCAAGGAAGAAGGAUUUAGCCAA